This 942-nucleotide long non-coding RNA is filed under the name Salmo salar (Atlantic salmon). RNAcentral's name for it is "lncRNA (ENSSSAG00000105501.1)". Lineage: Eukaryota; Metazoa; Chordata; Actinopteri; Salmoniformes; Salmonidae. The record is from RNAcentral.
UCUCAGCUUGUUUGUGAGGGGGUAUAGGUCCUGUGUAUUUGUGACAGUGUGUGGGGUAAGUUGGCAGUGAGUGGGGAAAGUGUUGUGUGUGUGAUAAAGUUAGGUCUGUGUACAGUGUUGUGUGUGUGAUUAAGUUAGGUCUGUGUACAGCGUUGUGUGUGAUAAAGUUAGGUCUGUGUACAGCGUUGUGUGUGAUUAAGUUAGGUCUGUGUACAGUGUUGUGUGUGUGAUAAAGUUAGGUCUGUGUACAGUGUUGUGUGUGUGAUUAAGUUAGGGCUGUGAAAAGUGUUGUGUGUGUGAUUAAGUUAGGGCUGUGUACAGUGUUGUUUGUGUGUGAUUAAGUUAGGGCUGUGUACAGUGUUGUGUGUGAUUAAGUUAGGGCUGUGUACAGUGUUGUGUGUGUGAUUAAGUUAGGGCUGUGAAAAGUGUUGUGUGUGUGAUUAAGUUAGGUCUGUGUACAGUGUUGUUUGUGUGUGAUUAAGUUAGGGCUGUGUACAGUGUUGUGUGUGAUUAAGUUAGGGCUGUGUACAGUGUUGUGUGUGUGAUUAAGUUAGGGCUGUGUACAGUGUUGUGUGUGUGAUUGAGGUUUGUUUUCCAGUGGGGUAUACUGUAUUGGUGUGUUCCAGAUCGUGAGUGAGGGUAUGUGUUGUGUGUUUGUGUCAGUGAAUGGGGGGGUAUGUGAUAUAGUGGGGUAUGUCCUGUAUGUAAUAUAUGUAUGUAUACUGCCAGUUAGUGGGAUGCCAGUGCGGGGCAGGGCAGUGGACAGACUCAGAUCAUUCCUGUGAUUUAACAUGACACCACUUGCACUAAGACUGCGACAGCUGCGUAUGCACAUGCCGCCAAUUCUGUUUGUUGUAGGGGCUUACGCUGCGAUAAAAGGCCAAGUGCAGAGUAGUGUGGCUGGGCCCAGAGCAUUACUCUUUCCCCCCAAUUUAGAAGGCU